CAGCCGAGUGGGAGCCAAGACCCCCGGUCGAACAUCCGGUCACCCUCGCGAUCGGGGCGAGCAACGGUGAGACCGGCCCCUCAACGA
This 87-nucleotide non-coding RNA is filed under the name unclassified sequences. Its description in RNAcentral is "c-di-GMP sequence". It matches the Rfam family "c-di-GMP-II-GAG riboswitch aptamer". The record is from Rfam by way of RNAcentral.